GGCGGUCCCGCCUUCUGACGUCGACCAUUGGCCGGCUUUGCCAGCGCGCUCCUGAUUGGUGGCUGUGGGCCGGGCUCCGCUGUUUCUCAAAGUUGGUGAUACAGCGGCGGCGCGGCGGAAUGGCAGCGGCUGCGGACUGGUUCUUAGGCGGGCCCACGGCGGUGCGGCUGCAGAGGUCGCCGCUACUCAAGGUGCUGGCGGAGCAGCUGUGGCACGACGCGGAGGGCGGCCGGACGUGUGGCGGCUGUCGUGGGCGACGGCGGGCCGCGGGCUGCUGGAGCUGGCGGCCGUGUGGAUGCAGGGCACGGUGGUGAUGGCUGGCCGCAGCGAGGCGCGGCUGCGGGACCCGAGCGGGGCCUUCUCGGUCCCCGGCCUGGAGCGGGUGCGGCGCAGGCGGCCCUGCCUCCUCCCAGGAAAGUAUGUGAUGGUGAUGGGAGUGGUGCACGCCUGCAGGCUGUGAAGAUGACAGACCUUUCUGAUAAUCCCAUCCGUGUAAGUAUGUGGGAACUGGAAGUGGAAGAUCUACACCGGAAUAUUCCUUAGAUGAUGUUGGAACUGUCGUUAAAAACAACCAAAAUCCAACGAUUUACAAGCUUAUAAUGAUGUGGAUUUCAUGGACAUUUUUCAAUGCUUAUUUUUCAAAAGUUUCUGAGAGCCUUGCUUUGGUUGACCAAGGAGUCUGGAUGUAGGAAUGUUUAAAUCCUGGGAUACUUGCUUUGCCUGUGUUUGCUGAUGAGAAGCAGAUGCUUUUGUCUUCCUGGUGUGUGUGUGUGUGUGUGUGUGUGUGUGUGUGUGUGUGUGUGUGUGUUAAUUCUCUCUCUCAGACACAGAAGUCUCAUGUUACAUUUUCCAAAUUUUUUGUGUGAUGAUACUUUUUCCAUUACUGCUGCAUCCCUGUUUUACAAUGCAAAAUUUAUCUCAGUCAUUGCCCGUGGUGUUUGAACUGUAGUUAUGGGCAGGAAGACAGACUGUGUAAAAAAGGAAUGACAUCAUGGCUCCUCAUCUUCUUCAUCAGCAACUACCAUAACCAGUUUGCAAGUCAAAUGGCAUUUCAUAACAGCAGGCGUGGCGGCCCCCAAAAGAAAAUAGCUCCUUUUCUGCUUCGGACACCACUCAAAUAUUUAGACACUGCUCUAUGCAUUUUCCUCUGCUAGAGAAGGUGAUGCCUUCUUCCAUCACUCACAGAUGUUGAGAUGUUUUCAGAAUUUCUUGUUGAAAUGAAAAACAUCAAGAUUAAGGAUGCUUUUCAGGCCUUAGCUGAACUUCCGCUUCAUUACUUUGGGAAAGACAUGGCGAGUUUCCUAGUUUAGAGUUCUUUUGUCUUUUUGUAUGGAAUGACUUUGCUGUGAUUUGAAUAUUGGGUUUCUGCUGUCUGCUUAAUACCCAUGCCUGAUUUUUGGAAAUUGUACAUAUCAAGGGAGUUAGGUUAUGCUCUGACAUGGUUGUAGACUUUCACCAGGAUUAUUGAUAUUCUACCUCUAAUAAAUUAAUAUGCU
Sapajus apella (tufted capuchin) is the source of this 1496-nucleotide RNA transcript. It is a transcript of the gene named recQ-mediated genome instability protein 2-like, with no coding region annotated. The record is from RefSeq and is a predicted model, not a curated record. NCBI's taxonomy places the organism in Eukaryota, Metazoa, Chordata, Mammalia, Primates, Cebidae. The transcript has 2 exons.